Molecule: transfer-messenger RNA, 351 nt
Filed under: bacterium
Lineage: Bacteria
Rfam family: transfer-messenger RNA
About the family: Bacterial tmRNA, also known as 10Sa RNA or SsrA, is named for its dual tRNA and mRNA-like properties. Its role is to liberate the mRNA from a stalled ribosome.
Source: RNAcentral
GGGGAUGACGGGCUUCGACGGAACAUUGAAACGAAAUAAGCAAGCCGAGGCAGCACGCACACUCGUAAAACGGCGUGCACAAGAUUAAUUGCCAACGCAUUUAGUCGUCAGCCUGAGCUCGCAUACGCGUAGCUUAGGGAUCUCUUCCUAACUCCUGCUAGGGAACCAAGAGGUCUUAUACCGCAGGAUAGCGAUUAAGGACUGGUGACUUAAAAGCAAAGCUAAGCCAGUAAGGCGCGUAUGGUUUCUGUUACGUCUAAGCCAUGCCGCAUGAACCGACGUAACUACGCUUGUAGAAAGUUUCGGACUGAUAUGUUUCGGAUCUGGGUUCAACUCUCAGCAUCUCCACUC